GCUCAUUAGUUAGUUUUCAGCUUUUUAGUUUUUAUUGAAGUAUCUAGAUGAUGAUAGGAAUGCUCUUUAAGUUUUAUGUUUGGCGUGGCACUGUACGCGUCGAACGGGGUUCAUGUUUAUAUCUUUGAAAGCAUCAUUUCUGACAGCCCCUGAACGCAACAUCACAGCUCGCUAAUUUGUCCUGAAGUCUUCUCUGACAACAGAACAUCGAUCAUCUCCUCUGUGGUUAAACCUCACUGCUGGUGAAUUAUUGCUGACACUGAGCUGUGUCCUGCUGGCCAGCAUCUCUCCUCUAUCAUAAACGCUCUCUGUCUAUCCUAUACCUUCUAUCCACUCUGUCUCAUUAUUGGAACCUCUAUCUAUCCUAUCACAUCUACCGCUCUGUCUUUGAUAUCCACAACUCUAUCUUUGUAUCCCCCUUCUAUCCACUCUGUCUCAUUAUUGGAACCUCUAUCUAUCCUAUCAAAUCUACCGCUCUGUCUACAAUAUACAAUUCAGGUUACUAAUACCUGAUCUAACCACAUAACGUUGGUUACCCUUUAUUACAACAACCUCACAAGUACCUGAUCCAUCUUUUGAUGAACAAACUCUGCUGAACCACAUUACGUUGGUACCCUUUGUUACAACAACCUCAGGUUACAAGUACCUGUUCUACUAGAUCUACUAUCAGAUUAUCCUCUUUUAAUCUUCUAUCUACACGCAAUAGAAUACGAUUACUAUCUACAAAUUGGGCAAAGCUUUUGGAAUAAACUGAGUCUGUUUUAGUCAGAAUUAGUUUGAACGUAAAAUUGGAAAAAAGGUUAACAGGAUAUUUAUACACAUAGCACGGUUUCUUUAAUUGAAUAUCACUAGAUAUAUUAGCAAAAUUAUUGUUUACUUUAUUUAAAAUCUUUUUCAUAUACACAUACAUUGUUUAAGUGUCCAAGUGUUUUGUUGUUAAACUUUUCAUACUGAAAUAAAAUACAAGCAUCUGUCAGAAUUGGA
Gasterosteus aculeatus aculeatus (three-spined stickleback) is the source of this 984-nucleotide long non-coding RNA. NCBI's taxonomy places the organism in Eukaryota, Metazoa, Chordata, Actinopteri, Perciformes, Gasterosteidae. The record is from Ensembl.